AUGCCGAUGCAGAUCCGUCACAGCCCACGUCCGUGUGCCCGCGGCCCGCAUGCUCCGUCAGCCACGGGCCCUGGGGCGCCGGGAUGGACCGCGAAGAUGCUCCGUCCUGCAGGGGCGCUGGAGCGCCGGGACGGACCACGUCCAAUGCUCGUCCCUUCCGCGGCUCGCUCGCAGCUCAAAAUCUUGCACCCGAGCACCAGCCCAAGCCAUGGCGCCACCACGGCCACGCGUGCAGUGGCCGGCUCCAACGUGCAGACCACGUCCGCCGCCACUAGCGCUCGUGUCCAAGGCAAGCUGCUGCUGCAGAGCUCCGACUCGCCCAGCAGCCCGCUCAGGCUGUCCCUCCAGCUCGUCAGCGCCACCGUCGCCGGGCGUGAUGAGCGCGGCGUGAGAGGGGAGGCGGCGGCGCUGGACGCCGUCAUAUCCAGCGGGGAGACGGAGGUCGACGUGGAGCUGCUGUGGGACGAGGCCCUGGGCGCGCCCGGCGCCGUGCUCGUGACAAACAACUCCGACUUCCCCGUGUACCUGAAGCUGCUGAGCCUGAGCUCGCCGGCCGUCCACUUCGUCUGCAACGGAUGGGUCUAUCCCGUCGGGAAGCACCCGUACCGCCUCUUCUUCACCAACGACGCGUACGUGAAGGAGAAGACGCCGCCGGCGCUGCGCAAGGACAGGGAAGACGAGCUCCGUCUGCUCCGGGGCGAGGGCGCGCCGGCAGACGCGCCGCUGCAGAAAUGGGACCGCGUGUACGACUACGCGCUCUACAACGACCUGGGAAACCCCGACCUGCGCGAGGACCUGGCGCGCCCGGUGCUGGGAGGGUCCGAAGAGUACCCGUACCCUCGCCGGACCAGGACCAGCCGGCCUCCGAGCAAGGCAGACCCCGCGAGCGAGACGAGGGCGUCGCUGGAGGAAGGGGUCUACAUCCCGUGCGACGAGCGGACCGGCGCCGUCGCCAAGGCGCCCAACCUUCCCAAGCUCGAGGGCCACUUCGGGUCCUUGGCGGAUGUCCACGGCCUCUUCGACACCAACGCCAAGCCCAUCGCAUUCCCCGUCCCACAGGUCAUCUCAGCGAAUCGAACAGCUUGGCGGACCGAUGAAGAGUUCGCCAGGCAAACACUCGCGGGGACAAACCCCCUGUCCAUCGAGCUCGUCACCGGCCUCCCACUCACGAGCAAGCUUGACCGGGCCCUGUAUGGUGACCAAGACAGCAAGAUAACCAAAGAGCACAUUGAGAAGAACUUGGGAAACAUGACCGUGGCGCAGGCUAUAGAAAAGGACAGGUUGUACGUUGUGGAUCACCACGACUGGGUGAUGCCGUACCUGAAGCGCAUCAACGAGCUGCCAGGCGACGAGGAGAAGGGCGAGAUCUCCGAGAGGAAGUCGUACGCCACAAGGACCCUCUUCUUCUUGCAAGACGACUCCACACUCAAGCCGCUGGCGAUCGAGCUCAGCUCGCCGCACCCAGAGGAUGAGCGCCUCGGCGCCACCAGCACCGUGUACACUCCUCCCGACCAACUCAAAGCCGGCGAAGCCGCCUCCGACACCUUCACGGCGUGGGACCUCGCCAAGGCCCACGCCGCCUCCAACGACGCCUGCAAGAACAACUACGUCCUUCACUGGCUGAGGACGCACGCGACGAUGGAGCCGGUGGUGAUCGCGGCGAACCGGCAGCUCAGCGUGCUGCACCCAAUCCACAAGCUUCUCAAGCCGCACUUCCGAAACACCUUGGACACAAAUUCCACGGCACGACACAUCGUCAUCGGCUCCGGCGACGAGCGACAGGGUGGUGCCUUUUACCGCAACAUGCACGAGGUCAACUUCUUCACCGGCAAGUACGGCAUGGAGAUGUCCUCCAAGGCAUACGCUUCAUUUAACUUCACCGAGCUCGCUUUCCCCAACGAACUCAUCAAGCGUGGAAUGGUGAGAGGAGCUCCGAAGAAACCUGAGGAGCUGGAGCUGCCGAGAAACGACGAGCUCAACAUCUUGACGGCGAUCUGGAAAUGGGUCACCGAACUCUUUUUCCCCAACGAACACAUCAAGACAGGUGUGGCGAGAGGCGAUCCGAAGAAGGCUGAGGAGCUGGAGCUGCUGAUAAAGGACUACCCGUACGCAGUCGACGGGCUGGAGAUCUGGACAGCCAUCAAGGAAUGGGUCACGGACUACUGCGCGAUAUACUACGCCGAGGGCGACGGCGCCGUCGCGGGCGACAGCGAGCUGCAGGCGUGGUGGAGCGAGGUGCGCAACGUGGGCCACGGCGACCUGAGCGACGCGCCGUGGUGGCCGGCGAUGGACAGCGUCGGCGACCUCGUGGAGACCUGCGCCACCAUCAUCUGGCUCGGCUCCGCCUACCAUUCCGCCGUCAGCUUCGGGCAGUACGCGUACAACGGCUUCGUCCCCAACCGCCCCACCGUCACCUCCGGGGAGAUGCCGGCCGGCGCCGGGGCGGCCGUGACCGAGGCGGAGUUCCUCGGCCACAUCACCCCGAAGAACGAGGCGUUCGGCCUCAUGGCGCUCACCAUGAGCCCGCCGGUGAAGCCGGGGGAGCCGCUCAUGGGAGAGCGGCCGGACACGGCACGGUGGACGAGCGAGCAGCGGGCAGCCAAGGCGCUGCUCGAGUUCAACGCGAAGCUGGACGCCGUCGCGGAGGCCGUCAAGAAGCGGAACGCCGACGGCGCGCUGCGGAACCGGAACGGGCCCGUGGAGGUGCCCUACACGCUCCUCGCGCCGAGGGCCGACCCUGCGGUGCCACACGUCGGCGGAAUUCCCAACAGCAUCGCCGUUUGA
This 2784-nucleotide ribosomal RNA is filed under the name Triticum aestivum (bread wheat). Its description in RNAcentral is "partial small subunit ribosomal RNA". Lineage: Eukaryota; Viridiplantae; Streptophyta; Magnoliopsida; Poales; Poaceae. The record is from RNAcentral.